Molecule: ribosomal RNA, 511 nt
Filed under: uncultured bacterium
Lineage: Bacteria
Description: bacterial SSU rRNA
Rfam family: Bacterial small subunit ribosomal RNA
Source: RNAcentral
GAAUGCUGGCGGCGUGCCUAAUACAUGCAAGUCGAGCGGUAACAGGGCUUCACCGUGUCUUGACACUCCGGGCGUAUCGCGGGAGGAAAGAUUCGAGGACACAGUGAAGCUGCUGACGAGCGGCGGACGGCUGAGUAACGCGUGGGAACAUACCCUAAACUGAGGGAUAACUAGUCGAAAGAUUAGCUAAUACCGCAUAUGAUCUUCGGAUUAAAGCUUUCGGGCGGUUUAGGAAUGGCCUGCGUACGAUUAGAUAGUUGGUGAGGUAAAUGGCUCACCAAGUCAACGAUCGUUAGAUGGUUUGAGAGGAUGAUCAUCCAGACUGGGACUGAGACACGGCCCAGACUCCUACGGGAGGCAGCAGUAGGGAAUCUUUCACAAUGGGCGAAAGCCUGAUUGGAGCAACGCCGCGUGCAGGAUGAAAGCCUUCGGGUUGUAAACUGCUUUUAUAUCCGAGAAAUAUGAUGGUAAGAUAUGAAUAAGGAUCGGCUAACUACGUGCCAGCCGCGGC